Molecule: ribosomal RNA, 492 nt
Filed under: uncultured bacterium
Lineage: Bacteria
Description: partial 16S ribosomal RNA
Rfam family: Bacterial small subunit ribosomal RNA
Source: RNAcentral
AGUGAACGCUGGCGGUAGGCCUAACACAUGCAAGUCGAACGGCAGCACAGUAAGAGCUUGCUCUUACGGGUGGCGAGUGGCGGACGGGUGAGGAAUACAUCGGAAUCUACUUUUUCGUGGGGGAUAACGUAGGGAAACUUACGCUAAUACCGCAUACGACCUACGGGUGAAAGCAGGGGAUCUUCGGACCUUGCGCGAUUGAAUGAGCCGAUGUCGGAUUAGCUAGUUGGCGGGGUAAAGGCCCACCAAGGCGACGAUCCGUAGCUGGUCUGAGAGGAUGAUCAGGCACACUGGAACUGAGGCAAGGGCCAGACUCCUACGGGAGGCAGCAGUUGGGAAUCUUUGGCAAUGGGCGGAAGCCUGACGCAGGCAAUCCGGGUUGGGGAAGAAGGGCUUCGGGGUGGAAAACCCUUUUUGUUGGGAAGGAAAAAUGGCGGGUUAAUACCCCGCUGUUUGAAGGGAACCGAAAAAAAAGCCACGGCUAACUUCGUG